UACGAAGGGGGCUAGCGUUGUUCGGAAUUACUGGGCGUAAAGCGCACGUAGGCGGAUCGAUCAGUCAGGGGUGAAAUCCCAGGGCUCAACCCUGGAACUGCCUUUGAUACUGUCGAUCUGGAGUAUGGAAGAGGUGAGUGGAGUUCCGAGUGUAGAGGUGAAAUUCGUAGAUAUUCGGAGGAACGCCAGUGGCGAAGGCGGCUCACUGGUCCAUUACUGACGCUGAGGUGCGAAAGCGUGGGGAGCAAACAGG
Molecule: ribosomal RNA, 253 nt
Filed under: uncultured bacterium
Lineage: Bacteria
Description: partial 16S ribosomal RNA
Rfam family: Bacterial small subunit ribosomal RNA
Source: RNAcentral